GCGGCCUAUCAGCUUGUUGGUGAGGUAACGGCUCACCAAGGCUAAGACGGGUAGCUGGUCUGAGAGGACGACCAGCCACACUGGAACUGAGACACGGUCCAGACACCUACGGGUGGCAGCAGUCGAGAAUUUUUCACAAUGGGCGAAAGCCUGAUGGAGCGACGCCGCGUGGGGGAUGAAUGGCUUCGGCCCGUAAACCCCUGUCAUUUGCGAACAAACCUCGUUAUUUAAAAGAUGACGAGUUGAUAGUAGCGAAAGAGGAAGGGACGGCUAACUCUGUGCCAGCAGCCGCGGUAAUACAGAGGUCCCAAGCGUUGUUCGGAUUCACUGGGCGUAAAGGGUGCGUAGGUGGUCGGGUAAGUCUGAUGUGUAAUCUCCAAGCUCAACUUGGAAACGGCAUCGGAUACUAUUCGGCUUGAGGGUUGGAGGGGAGACUGGAAUUCCU
This 445-nucleotide ribosomal RNA is filed under the name uncultured Verrucomicrobiota bacterium. Its description in RNAcentral is "bacterial SSU rRNA". It matches the Rfam family "Bacterial small subunit ribosomal RNA", at positions 233 to 671 of the family's 1533-position model. Lineage: Bacteria; Pseudomonadati; Verrucomicrobiota. The record is from RNAcentral.